Molecule: ribosomal RNA, 253 nt
Filed under: uncultured bacterium
Lineage: Bacteria
Description: partial 16S ribosomal RNA
Rfam family: Bacterial small subunit ribosomal RNA
Source: RNAcentral
UACGAAGGGGGCUAGCGUUACUCGGAAUUACUGGGCGUAAAGGGCGCGUAGGCGGCGUUCCAAGUUAGGCGUGAAAGUCCUGGGCUCAACCUGGGAACUGCGCUUAAGACUGGAGUGCUAGAGGAUGGAAGAGGGUCGUGGAAUUCCCAGUGUAGAGGUGAAAUUCGUAGAUAUUGGGAAGAACACCGGUGGCGAAGGCGGCGACCUGGUCCAUUACUGACGCUGAGGCGCGACAGCGUGGGGAGCAAACAGG